CGAAGAGGCUGCCCAUACGAGGAGGCGGUGUAGACAAGCCAUCGAGCAUUUCGGGACUUGGAGUUUUUACUUUGGCUUGUGGUUUCCGCAGGUUUCAGCGCGUUGUUUUGGGUAGUGGCAGGAGAGGGAAGGGCGCUAAAUUAGAGAAACUGAUGUAAUAUGUAGUAUAGGCCAGAAGAACACUGAAAGAAAGCUUGAUGUAAUGAAAAGGCCCUGGUCUGAGAUACCAAAAACUGGAAACUUGUUCUAGAAGGCUUUUGGUCUAGUUGUGGAGGACGUUGCUUCACUGGCCCAAG
This is a long non-coding RNA of Hipposideros armiger (great roundleaf bat), 296 nucleotides long. RefSeq lists it as uncharacterized. NCBI's taxonomy places the organism in Eukaryota, Metazoa, Chordata, Mammalia, Chiroptera, Hipposideridae. The record is from RefSeq and is a predicted model, not a curated record. The transcript has 3 exons.